Molecule: long non-coding RNA, 724 nt
Filed under: Malus domestica (apple)
Lineage: Eukaryota; Viridiplantae; Streptophyta; Magnoliopsida; Rosales; Rosaceae
Description: long non-coding RNA (MDOM_LNC003897)
Source: RNAcentral
UGAGUUGAGAUUUAUACCUUUGUAGAUUCCUCUUUGCAUAAGCAAAGGCUAAUCUGAAGGGAAAUCUAUGAGAUUCAUGUAUGGGAUUUCUUAAUGACUAUCAUGCAUAUACAAAUCAAAUUUAAUAUACGAAAGCAGCGGAAGCAUUUAUAACAUAUUAUCAAAGCUAUAGUCAUGCAAAUCCCCUUCAAGGUUCAUAGGUUUAUAUAUAAUGCAUCAAAUAAAAUUUUUAGAGAAAAGAACAAAGUGAAGGUUUAGUCUUAUACCUCUUGAUCUAGACUUGAGACCAAGGAUGGACCACCUCCAAGCCCUUUGUUCCUUGAACUCCUUGAGCCUAGCUUCCCUCCUUGCCUCCUCCACUUUGAUAGAAUGAGUGCUCAUAGGUUCUCUUCAAGUUUCCAAAGUAGGAAACCUCUAAAGAUCCUCACCCACUAGUGUAGUGAGAAGGAUGAAGGAAUAACCAAAAGGGUGAAAGAUUGUUAGCUAAAACACCCUCUAGGUGGCCGGCCUUUGUGGUCUUAGAGAGCUAUCUUUCUUUUGCCUCUUUGUUGUUCAAAAACACACAAAAAACCCUUAAUGAACAAUAUCUCUAUAAAGUUCCUUAUAUAAACAAAAGAAACCUAGCCAACAAAUUGACUAAAUAUCUCACCCUUUCCACACCUAAUAUGGCCGGCCCUCUUUGUGUUGUUUGGGCUUUGGGCUUUCAUUUAUUUCAAGUCAUCCA